Molecule: long non-coding RNA, 497 nt
Organism: Triticum aestivum (bread wheat)
Lineage: Eukaryota; Viridiplantae; Streptophyta; Magnoliopsida; Poales; Poaceae
Exons: 4
Source: RefSeq, a predicted model, not a curated record
CAACAGGUGCUCUGCUCUUGCGCAUGUUUGGUGGCGUCUCCGGCGCAGCCGUGCUUCUUGAGGCGACCGGCGUGAUGGCGGGUGUGUAUGGCGGCGACCACAAGCUCUCCAGGAGCUCCACAUAUGAGUCUCGGCCAUCCUCCACAACAAGUAGCUGGGCCAAGGGAGCAAGCAGCGCUAUUGGUUUCUUGAGGCCGGAUCGUGUAAGAUGGUGCAUCAUGGCGUGCGGCGGCUUAUUCUGUCAUAGUGGGUUAUGAUGAUAUUUCCAAGGAAAUAUACUGACCCUGAUGUGGCUAAGGUGAUUUGAUUUUCAGAAGUUGGAAGAGGAAGACGAUGAAGCAUGGUGUUUUUCUAUCAAUCUACCUCUUGUUCUGGUUGUAGUCUGUAGCUAGUUAUAUUGUAAUCGGUAGUAGUCAGCACAUCAUUUCUAUGAAUACCAUGUAAAGACUGUAAUAGGCUGAUUUUGCAUAUCAUUUCAAGAAUUUAGUUCUGUUCCA